UUUAAGGUCUAAUCUGCCCUAUGAGGAGUUAAAUGGCCGCGGUAUUUUGACCGUGCAAAGGUAGCAUAAUAAUUAGUUUUUUAAUUGAAAGCUGGAAUGAAUGAUUGGACGAGAAAAUUUCUGUCUCAUUUUAAUUUUAUUAGAAUUUUAUUUUUAAGUAAGAAAGCUUAAAUUUUUUUAAAAGACGAGAAGACCCUAUAGAGUUUAAAAUUAUGUUUUAUUUUGAUUUUUUAGUAUUUUAAUAUUAGAAUUUUAUAUAUUUUUUUGUUGGGGUGAUAGAAAAAUUUGAUUAACUUUUUUUGGAAUUUAUCAUUGAUAUAUGAUUAAAUGAUCCAUUAUUUAUGAUUAUAAGAUUAAAUUACCUUAGGGAUAACAGCGUAAUUUUUUUUAGAGUUCUUAUCGAAUGAAGGGAUUGCGACCUCGAUGUUGGAUUAAAAUUAAUAUUUGGUGAAGAGGCUGGAUAAUUAGGUCUGUUCGACCUUUGAAAUUUUACA
Molecule: ribosomal RNA, 494 nt
Filed under: Pseudotrochalus sp. DA1666
Lineage: Eukaryota; Metazoa; Arthropoda; Insecta; Coleoptera; Scarabaeidae
Description: partial 16S large subunit ribosomal RNA
Rfam family: Bacterial large subunit ribosomal RNA
Source: RNAcentral